AUUGAACGCUGGCGGCAGGCCUAACACAUGCAAGUCGAGCGGAUGAAGGGAGCUUGCUCCUGGAUUCAGCGGCGGACGGGUGAGUAAUGCCUAGGAAUCUGCCCGGUAGUGGGGGAUAACGUCCGGAAACGGGCGCUAAUACCGCAUACGUCCUGAGGGAGAAAGUGGGGGAUCUUCGGACCUCACGCUAUCAGAUGAGCCUAGGUCGGAUUAGCUAGUUGGUGGGGUAAAGGCCUACCAAGGCGACGAUCCGUAACUGGUCUGAGAGGAUGAUCAGUCACAAUGGAACUGAGACACGGUCCAGACUCCUACGGGAGGCAGCAGUGGGGAAUAUUGGACAAUGGGCGAAAGCCUGAUCCAGCCAUGCCGCGUGUGUGAAGAAGGUCUUCGGAUUGUAAAGCACUUUAAGUUGGGAGGAAGGGCAGUAAGUUAAUACCUUGCUGUUUUGACGUUACCAACAGAAUAAGCACCGGCUAACUUCGUG
This 484-nucleotide ribosomal RNA is filed under the name uncultured bacterium. RNAcentral describes it as "partial 16S ribosomal RNA". It matches the Rfam family "Bacterial small subunit ribosomal RNA", at positions 30 to 507 of the family's 1533-position model. The record is from RNAcentral.